This 29-nucleotide non-coding RNA is filed under the name Mus musculus (house mouse). The record is from RNAcentral. Lineage: Eukaryota; Metazoa; Chordata; Mammalia; Rodentia; Muridae.
UGAGAGAGCAAAAUUCAAACGAUUCAAGA